UACGGAGGAUCCGAGCGUUAUCCGGAUUUAUUGGGUUUAAAGGGUGCGUAGGCGGAAAGAUAAGUCAGCCUGUGAAAGUUUGCGGCUCAACCGUAAAAUUGCAGUUGAUACUGUUUUUCUUGAGUGUACAUAAGGUAGGCGGAAUUCGUGGUGUAGCGGUGAAAUGCUUAGAGAUCACACAGAAUAUCGAUUGCGAAGGCAGCUUGCCGGGGUACAACUGACGAUGAGGCACGAAAGUGUGGGUAUCAAA
RNAcentral lists this ribosomal RNA (250 nucleotides) under uncultured bacterium. RNAcentral describes it as "partial 16S ribosomal RNA". It matches the Rfam family "Bacterial small subunit ribosomal RNA", at positions 524 to 772 of the family's 1533-position model. The record is from RNAcentral.